UGUUCUCAUUUUUGUUCUCUCGAAACGAGGGACAAAUUCAGAAUAAGUAUGAUGAUUCUCUCCGAAAGAGAAGAAUGAAACAUCAAAUCUGAUUUAUGAUCUAUCCCUUUCCCUCUAUUAAUUAUUUUUACAGCCAAGAAUACACUACCCUCUCUUUCUUAUAUUUGACAGGACGUACCACAAAAGCUCCACCAUCUUAAAUAGUGCUCAACUGCCCCUCUUUUUCAAUAUACUCUCCCCACCUUUCUGUAUUACUCAUCAUAUUUUAUGAGUACAAAUUAAAUGAAAAAGAGGAUAUAUAUGAUUCUUUGCUGCAGAGACUACAAGUGUAAUCUUGAUUUUCAUGGAGGUUUCACAAAGAGUUUCUUACAGAGUUCUUUGGCAUUCUGUCCACCUCCUUUAUAAUAUCCUUUUAGAUUAUUUUUUAAAAAAUAAUUAACAAAAAAAAGUGUAAAGAUGGAGGUGGGCAUACUGUCAACAGAGUUGUGUUGGUAUCCCUUUGUGAAAUCCUCGUGAUUAUCACACGUUCUUCAUGUGGUUGUUGUUGUUAAUUCCCCCCAGAUUUUGCGCUGAUGAUGACGACUAGGGUUUGAGGAAUUCCAAAAGGUAAUAAUGUCGAAGCGGUAGGAAAGAAUCAUUGAAUGGUUCUAAACUGGAAAGAGUUGGAUGUCUAGCUAAUUUGUCCAAACCACAAUGAUAGUAUGUUUGUACCUGAAUUGGUGGCUCACUUUUUCUAAAGUAACGGAGAAGAGGAUCAAAACAUGCCACUGGAAGACUCUGUUGGGUCAAAGAUGAGCUGUCAAGAACCUAGAAAAGGUAGGACGAGUCAAUGGUGAGAUCUAAUAUGGAUUAUUAAUGAAAGGUAGUUGGAAUCGACAGUUACCCAAGAUUUUUCUCAAGUAGAAAUUUAUCUGCUUAGUGUAAAUAUAAGCGAAGAAACAGUAAGCAUGAAAAUAGUAUAGCUAGGUUUUGACUUUGGAUUCAAUAGUAUUAGUGCAACGCUGUGACGUUCACACAUCAGAAAUUCGAACCUUAUCGCGUGCUCAA
This is a long non-coding RNA of Lycium barbarum (goji berry), 1047 nucleotides long. RefSeq lists it as uncharacterized. The transcript is spliced from 2 exons. The record is from RefSeq and is a predicted model, not a curated record. NCBI's taxonomy places the organism in Eukaryota, Viridiplantae, Streptophyta, Magnoliopsida, Solanales, Solanaceae.